CCCUUAGAUGUUCUGGGCCGCGCGCGCGCUACACUGAUGCAUUCAACGAGCCUAUCCUUGACCGACAGGUCCGGGUAAUCUUUGAAUCUGCAUCGUGACGGGGAUAGAUUAUUGCAAUUAUUAAUCUUCAACGAGGAAUGCCUAGUAGGCGCAAGUCAUCAGCUUGCGUCGAUUACGUCCCUGCCCUUUGUACACACCGCCCGUCGCUCCUACCGAUUGGGUGUGCUGGUGAAAUGUUCGGAUCGGCCGUUUGUCGCGGUUUCCGCGUCAUGUGGCUGAGAAGUUCAUUAAACCCUCCCACCUAGAGGAAGGAGAAGUCGUAACA
RNAcentral lists this ribosomal RNA (325 nucleotides) under uncultured eukaryote. RNAcentral's name for it is "partial 18S ribosomal RNA". It matches the Rfam family "Eukaryotic small subunit ribosomal RNA", at positions 1470 to 1796 of the family's 1831-position model. The record is from RNAcentral.